RNAcentral lists this ribosomal RNA (500 nucleotides) under uncultured bacterium. RNAcentral describes it as "partial 16S ribosomal RNA". It matches the Rfam family "Bacterial small subunit ribosomal RNA", at positions 30 to 523 of the family's 1533-position model. The record is from RNAcentral.
AUUGAACGCUGGCGGAAUGCUUUACACAUGCAAGUCGAACGGCAGCACGGGGGUAACCCUGGUGGCGAGUGGCGAACGGGUGAGUAAUACAUCGGAACGUGCCCAAUCGUGGGGGAUAACGUAGCGAAAGCUACGCUAAUACCGCAUACGAUCUACGGAUGAAAGCGGGGGAUCGCAAGACCUCGCGCGAAUGGAGCGGCCGAUGGCAGAUUAGGUAGUUGGUGGGGUAAAGGCUCACCAAGCCAACGAUCUGUAGCUGGUCUGAGAGGACGACCAGCCACACUGGGACUGAGACACGGCCCAGACUCCUACGGGAGGCAGCAGUGGGGAAUUUUGGACAAUGGGCGCAAGCCUGAUCCAGCCAUUCCGCGUGCAGGAUGAAGGCCUUCGGGUUGUAAACUGCUUUUGUACGGAACGAAACGGCCCUUCCUAAUACAGAGGGCUAAUGACGGUACCGUAAGAAUAAGCACCGGCUAACUACGUGCCAGCCGCCGCCGUAA